AAUAGAUACCCCGGUAGUCCACCCCGUAAACGUUGGGAACUAGUUGUGGGGUCCUUUCCACGGAUUCCGUGACGCAGCUAACGCAUUAAGUUCCCCGCCUGGGGAGUACGGCCGCAAGGCUAAAACUCAAAGGAAUUGACGGGGACCCGCACAAGCGGCGGAGCAUGCGGAUUAAUUCGAUGCAACGCGAAGAACCUUACCAAGGCUUGACAUACACCGGAAACGGCCAGAGAUGGUCGCCCCGCAAGGUCGGUGUACAGGUGGUGCAUGGUUGUCGUCAGCUCGUGUCGUGAGAUGUUGGGUUAAGUCCCGCAACGAGCGCAACCCUCGUUCUAUGUUGCCAGCACGUAACGGUGGGAACUCAUGGGAUACUGCCGGGGUCAACUCGGAGGAAGGUGGGGAUGACGUCAAAUCAUCAUGCCCCUUAUGUCUUGGGCUUCACGCAUGCUACAAUGGCCGGUACAAAGGGCUGCAAUACCGUGAGGUGGAGCGAAUCCCGAAAAGCCGGUCCCAGUUCGGAUUGAGGUCUGCAACUCGACCUCA
RNAcentral lists this ribosomal RNA (543 nucleotides) under uncultured bacterium. Its description in RNAcentral is "bacterial SSU rRNA". It matches the Rfam family "Bacterial small subunit ribosomal RNA", at positions 777 to 1320 of the family's 1533-position model. The record is from RNAcentral.